RNAcentral lists this ribosomal RNA (878 nucleotides) under Colletotrichum gloeosporioides. RNAcentral's name for it is "LSU rRNA". It matches the Rfam family "Eukaryotic large subunit ribosomal RNA", at positions 52 to 961 of the family's 3401-position model. Lineage: Eukaryota; Fungi; Ascomycota; Sordariomycetes; Glomerellales; Glomerellaceae. The record is from RNAcentral.
GGAGGAAAAGAAACCAACAGGGAUUGCCUCAGUAACGGCGAGUGAAGCGGCAACAGCUCAAAUUUGAAAUCUGGCCCUAGGCCCGAGUUGUAAUUUGCAGAGGAUGCUUUUGGUGCGGUGCCUUCCAAGUUCCCUAGAACGGGACGCCAGAGAGGGUGAGAGCCCCGUACAGUUGGACACCAAGCCUUUGUAAAGCUCCUUCGACGAGUCGAGUAGUUUGGGAAUGCUGCUCAAAAUGGGAGGUAUAUUUCUUCUAAAGCUAAAUACCGGCCAGAGACCGAUAGCGCACAAGUAGAGUGAUCGAAAGAUGAAAAGCACUUUGAAAAGAGGGUUAAACAGCACGUGAAAUUGUUAAAAGGGAAGCGCUUGUGACCAGACUUGCGUCCGGUGAAUCACCCAGCUCUCGCGGCUGGGGCACUUCGCCGGCUCAGGCCAGCAUCAGCUCGCUGUCGGGGACAAAAGCUUCGGGAACGUAGCUCUCUUCGGGGAGUGUUAUAGCCUGUUGCAUAAUACCCUUCGGCGGGCUGAGGUACGCGCUCCGCAAGGAUGCUGGCAUAAUGGUCAUCAGCGACCCGUCUUGAAACACGGACCAAGGAGUCAACCUUAUGUGCGAGUGUUCGGGUGUCAAACCCCUACGCGUAAUGAAAGUGAACGCAGGUGAGAGCUUCGGCGCAUCAUCGACCGAUCCUGAUGUUCUCGGAUGGAUUUGAGUAAGAGCAUAUAGGGUUGGACCCGAAAGAAGGUGAACUAUGCGUGUAUAGGGUGAAGCCAGAGGAAACUCUGGUGGAGGCUCGCAGCGGUUCUGACGUGCAAAUCGAUCGUCAAAUAUGCGCAUGGGGGCGAAAGCCUAAUCGAACCUUCUAGUAGCUGGUUUCCGC